UACCCAUGAAGCCCCGCGCCUGCAUUUGUCGGAUUGUGCUUGGGGAAAAAAAGCGUAAUAUUGUUCCAAUGAUCGAGAAUCAAUAACAUUCAAAGCAUCUACAAACAACAUCUGUUAAAUUGAAUCAAUUCUCUAAGUACACCAAGAUAUAUUCAUAAACUUUCUGGAAGAUGGGGCAGCUUUGCACAGCAGGAGACUGAUGAGGAGACAACUCAACACCUCUAAUGGAAUAGAGCAGUCUCAGCUCUCUGACAAACAGCAGUCAUGGAAACCAAGGAAAAUGGUUCAGUGGACACCAAAUGUUCUGUGGAGAACGGGCAGCUUUCUGAUCCAGCCCACUGGGCCGUAGCGGAUGUGGUCAAUUAUUUUAAAGCUACAGGAUUUGAAGAGCAAGCUAACGCUUUCCAGG
This is a long non-coding RNA of Sinocyclocheilus anshuiensis, 409 nucleotides long. RefSeq lists it as uncharacterized. The record is from RefSeq and is a predicted model, not a curated record. NCBI's taxonomy places the organism in Eukaryota, Metazoa, Chordata, Actinopteri, Cypriniformes, Cyprinidae. The transcript is spliced from 4 exons.